This 313-nucleotide ribosomal RNA is filed under the name uncultured eukaryote. RNAcentral describes it as "partial 18S ribosomal RNA". It matches the Rfam family "Eukaryotic small subunit ribosomal RNA", at positions 1470 to 1796 of the family's 1831-position model. The record is from RNAcentral.
CCCUUAGAUGUCCUGGGCCGCACGCGCGUUACACUGAUGCAUUCAACGAGCUUAUAACCUUGGCCGAGAGGCCUGGGCAAUCUUGUUAACGUGCAUCGUGAUAGGGAUAGAUUAUUGAAAUUAUUAAUCUUGAACGAGGAAUUCCUAGUAAACGCAGAUCAUCAAUCUGCAUUGAUUACGUCCCUGCCCUUUGUACACACCGCCCGUCGCUCCUACCGAUUGAGUGAGCCGAUGAAACUGCCGGAUGUGGACUAUUCAUAGUCUGCAGAAGAUAUUUGAAUCGUAGCGCUUAGAGGAAGGAGAAGUCGUAACA